This 853-nucleotide long non-coding RNA is filed under the name Homo sapiens (human). RNAcentral's name for it is "EOGT divergent transcript". Lineage: Eukaryota; Metazoa; Chordata; Mammalia; Primates; Hominidae. The record is from RNAcentral.
GGGGACUGAACAUCGUUCACCGAAUACACUUUGUGAUGCUGGGCUUGAAAUCUACUGUUUUCCUGUCUUAAAAGAGAAUUCUGUGACUCCAUGGAAGACAUCUGAAUUUUGUUAGCAAGGAGUUCUUCUGUAGCUGCACGUUCUCUCUCAACUGCUGCUGCCAGCAAGGUCUGGGAUUCACCUGAUUACAGGACAGAAAAAAAAAUCACAUACACAUACAGCCCAGAGACCAAAAUACCAAGUCAAUUCUGAUUUCAAACAUUUAAUGAUGCAAGUAGCCACACUUAAAACUGAUAACUAUUUAUUGCCUAAGGCAGGACUGUCUACUGAGACAAAUGAACCAAUCUUAACUUAUACCUGCUUUAUCACUCUUUUCCAAAAGUAUUUUAAUUUCAAAAUGGAGUCAUGCAUUAAAAGAGUAGUGGAUCACCAACACCAAAUGGUCCUGGAGCAACUGGACAGCUAUAUGCAAAAAAACCAAAAAGCCUACACAUCACAUCAUUCACGAAAAUUAACUCAAAAUGGAUCAUAGACUUAUAUGUAAAACAUGAAACUAUAAAACUUUUAGGAAAAAACAGAGGAGAAAGUCUUCAGGAUCUAGAACAAGGCAGAUUUGACACAAAAAGCAAGAGCCAUAGAAAGAAAAACUGACAAACUGCUUCAAAAUUUUCAACUUUUAAAUCUAUGUGAAGAGGAUGAAAAGGCAAACUACAGAGUGAGAGCAAAUAAAUGCAAACCAUAUAUCUAGGAUUAGUAUCAGGAAUAUAUAACAAUCUAGUUAGAAAAUGGGUAAACGACAUAGACAGAAAUUUCACCAUAGAGAAUGUACAAAUGGAAAAUAAGGACAUAAAAU